Long non-coding RNA from Musa acuminata AAA Group (dessert banana), 2178 nucleotides. RefSeq lists it as uncharacterized. NCBI's taxonomy places the organism in Eukaryota, Viridiplantae, Streptophyta, Magnoliopsida, Zingiberales, Musaceae. The transcript has 3 exons. The record is from RefSeq and is a predicted model, not a curated record.
ACCCUUACGAUCGCGUUUGGAACCCCUCCAUCGAUCCUUCAUGGGUUACCUUGUCCACCGAUUUGAAGGUGGACAAUGCCGACGAUUUAUUCGAGCCGCCUAUCACAGUUCUGCAGACCGCGGUGACUCCGGCUGCUGGCCGGCAGCUGGACUUCUCCUUGGACGCCGCCUCCCCAUACGACAAGCUGUACCACGUCCUCUACUUCACCCAACUCCGGGCGCUGACGGGCAACGCGACCAGGGUGUUCAACAUCACCCGGAAUGGCGAGACCAGAUCUAGUUGGUAUACCCCGCGUUACCUAUCAUGUGGUUACACAUACAGCGUUGAGCCAUUCGAAGGCUAUUCUCGAUACCAAUACGUUCUCGACGCCACGAGCAACUCCACCCUCCCCCCCAUCAUCAACGCCUUCGAGGUAUACUCUCUGAAGCAGCUCACCCAAGCAGCCACCGAUUCUGGAGAUGGCUCAGAACUCGACAAAAAUAUACCACAGGAAUCUGGUUUCACUGGUUGGUUAUUGCAUCGAUAAAAAUUGCCUAGCUCUUGUUUAUGAAUAUAUGCAGCGAGGAAGUCUUCAUGAGAAUCUACAAGGUUUAAGAAUGCUGAACUUUAGCACUGUUGCUUCUCUUCUCCAAAUGCUUAAUAAUAUGGAAUUUUCUUUUUUGUGAAUAAUAAUGGAAAAAUAAUUUAGGAAAAUAUAUAAUAUUAAGGGCGGAGAAUUGUUACAAUGUUAGUUAAAUUUUAUAUUGUGUAUCGUUCACAUUCUAAUGUUCAAUUAGGAAGCUGUAAUUUUUUUAGAAGUAAUAUCUUGAUUUGGUGGCCAAUGGCUUGUAUCGGAGUAGUGAAGAUUAGAUAUUCUCAUGACUCAUAACCAAAGAUCCAUCUUUUGAGGGAGACAUCUAGUUGGAAAUUUGAAGCGAAAUGGUUAUUUCUUGUUGAUCUUUUGUUAAAUUGCAUUAAUGAAAUUUCUUUGUAAUUAUCAGAUAAGGCUGGUCGUGCUAAAGCCUUGAACUGGGGUCAACGACUACGAAUUGCACUUGACGCUGCACGAGGUUUGGGAGGAUAUAACAUCCCCCAUUGGUCUUUCUACUUGUCUUCGAUAAUAUGAUCUUUCCUUUUAUAAUUUCAAUCUAUAUUUAACAGUGUAGGACUGGAAUAUAUGCAUAAAGGAUGCAGGCCUCCAAUAAUCCAUAGAGAUAUCAAGACCAAUAACAUUCUCUUGAGUGAAGAACUAGAGGCUAGAUAGCAGAUUUUGGGUUAUCCAAGUCUUUCCAUACUGAUGACCAAACCCACGUGUCCACAAAGAUGAUGGUUGGCACCCCUGGAUAUAUCCAUCCUGAGUACCAUCAAACUUACCAACUCACCAACAAGAGUGAUGUGUAUAGCUUUGGUAUAGUUCUGUUGGAGCUUAUCACAGGAAGACCUCCGAUUGUGCCUGGUCUGGGAAACAUUCACAUCAUGCAGUGGAUCGCCCCAAGUCUUUCCUCGGGGAACAUAGAUGAAAUUGUUGAUGAAAAUCUACAAGGAAAAUACGACCCUACUUCUGCAUGGAAGAUCCUGGAAUUAGCUCUCACGUGCACAGCAGAUAAAGGCAGCCAGAGACCAACAAUGUUCGAAGUAGUGAUGCAGCUGAAGAGCUGCUUGGAGCAAGAGAUUGAUUCUUACAAGAGCGAGAACAUAUAUAGUAAAGGCUUUAAUGUAAGCCAAGAAACUGCAUCUGAUAUAGGACCAUUUGGUCCUUCUGCCAGAUAAAUCCAUCACAGUUAUUUCUGCUACGUAAUACUAUGUGUGGGUUUAGAUGAGAUAUGUUGAAUAGAGUCCUCGAAAGAAGUCCAGCUACAUUCAUGUUGGCUAGUAUUUCUAUGCAUGGCAAUGAUUUUGAGUUCUGCCACUCACUGGCCUGACUUCAGAACCACAAAAUCAAGCUUCAUCGUGGUUGUACAACUCUUUUGCUACAUAACAAGUUCUUGAAAUUGAGAUCUUGGGAGAUUAAAGCCAAAGGAAGAUGGUUAUCGAUGCAAAGCUGGUUAAGCUCAUGGUUUGCACCUAGUCAUUAUUCCUUUAGUGUAUGCCUUAUUAGUUUAGGUGCCUGCACGGUGGUGUGUCUUUGAUUGUGUUGGUUAAUGUAUAAAAUGUCUGAACAUAUUACUGGAUAUGUAAAUUACUUUGGUUCCUUUUUC